Molecule: ribosomal RNA, 440 nt
Filed under: Lacticaseibacillus rhamnosus
Lineage: Bacteria; Bacillati; Bacillota; Bacilli; Lactobacillales; Lactobacillaceae
Description: bacterial SSU rRNA
Rfam family: Bacterial small subunit ribosomal RNA
Source: RNAcentral
UGAGAUAUUCGGAUAUUGGGCGUAAGCGAGCGCAGGCGGUUUUUUAAGUCUGAUGUGAAAGCCCUCGGCUUAACCUGGGAAGUGCAUCGGAUACUGGGAAACUUGAGUGCAGAAGAGGACAGUGGAACUCCAUGUGUAGCGGUGAAAUGCGUAGAUAUAUGGAAGAACACCAGUGGCGAAGGCGGCUGUCUGGUCUGUAACUGACGCUGAGGCUCGAAAGCAUGGGUAGCGAACAGGAUUAGAUACCCUGGUAGUCCAUGCCGUAAACGAUGAAUGCUAGGUGUUGGAGGGUUUCCGCCCUUCAGUGCCGCAGCUAACGCAUUAAGCAUUCCGCCUGGGGAGUACGACCGCAAGGUUGAAACUCAAAGGAAUUGACGGGGGCCCGCACAAGCGGUGGAGCAUGUGGUUUAAUUCGAAGCAACGCGAAAAAACCUUACAAA